Molecule: transfer RNA, 60 nt
Filed under: bovine gut metagenome
Rfam family: tRNA
About the family: Transfer RNA (tRNA) molecules are approximately 80 nucleotides in length.
Source: RNAcentral
UGAUAGCUCAGUUGGUAGAGCAACUGACUCUUAAUCAGUGGGUCUACGGUUCGAAUCCGU